RNAcentral lists this ribosomal RNA (253 nucleotides) under uncultured bacterium. Its description in RNAcentral is "partial 16S ribosomal RNA". It matches the Rfam family "Bacterial small subunit ribosomal RNA", at positions 524 to 776 of the family's 1533-position model. The record is from RNAcentral.
GACGUAGGGCGCGAGCGUUGUCCGGAUUUAUUGGGCGUAAAGAGCUCGUAGGCGGCUUGUCGCGUCGUUCGUGAAAACCUGUGGCUCAACUACAGGCUUGCGGUCGAUACGGGCAGGCUGGAGUUCGGUAGGGGAGUCUGGAAUUCCUGGUGUAGCGGUGAAAUGCGCAGAUAUCAGGAGGAACACCGGUGGCGAAGGCGGGACUCUGGGCCGAUACUGACGCUGAGGAGCGAAAGCGUGGGGAGCAAACAGG